Molecule: non-coding RNA, 45 nt
Filed under: Trichobilharzia regenti
Lineage: Eukaryota; Metazoa; Platyhelminthes; Trematoda; Strigeidida; Schistosomatidae
Source: RNAcentral
GUACCGCAGAAGAGUCCACAUUAGGACGAAACAGCUGUCCAAUAC